CCCUUAGAGUUUGAUCCUGGCUCAGGAUGAACGCUAGCUACAGGCUUAACACAUGCAAGUCGAGGGGAAACGAUAGAGAAAGCUUGCUUUUUCUAGGCGUCGACCGGCGCACGGGUGAGUAACGCGUAUCCAACCUGCCCAUCACUUGGGGAUAACCUUGCGAAAGUAAGACUAAUACCCAAUGACGUCUCUAGAAGACAUCUGAAGGAGAUUAAAGAUUUAUCGGUGAUGGAUGGGGAUGCGUCUGAUUAGCUUGUUGGCGGGGUAACGGCCCACCAAGGCGACGAUCAGUAGGGGUUCUGAGAGGAAGGUCCCCCACAUUGGAACUGAGACACGGUCCAAACUCCUACGGGAGGCAGCAGUGAGGAAUAUUGGUCAAUGGACGAGAGUCUGAACCAGCCAAGUAGCGUGCAGGAUGACGGCCCUAUGGGUUGUAAACUGCUUUUAUAAGGGAAUAAAGUGAGUCUCGUGAGACUUUUUGCAUGUACCUUAUGAAUAAGGACCGGCUAAUUCCGUGCCAGCAGCCGCGGUAAUACGGAAGGUCCGGGCGUUAUCCGGAUUUAUUGGGUUUAAAGGGAGCGUAGGCCGGAGAUUAAGCGUGUUGUGAAAUGUAGACGCUCAACGUCUGCACUGCAGCGCGAACUGGUUUCCUUGAGUACGCACAAAGUGGGCGGAAUUCGUGGUGUAGCGGUGAAAUGCUUAGAUAUCACGAAGAACUCCGAUUGCGAAGGCAGCUCACUGGAGCGCAACUGACGCUGAAGCUCGAAAGUGCGGGUAUCGAACAGGAUUAGAUACCCUGGUAGUCCGCACGGUAAACGAUGGAUGCCCGCUGUUGGUCUGAAUAGGUCAGCGGCCAAGCGAAAGCAUUAAGCAUCCCACCUGGGGAGUACGCCGGCAACGGUGAAACUCAAAUGAAUUGACG
Molecule: ribosomal RNA, 922 nt
Filed under: uncultured bacterium
Lineage: Bacteria
Description: bacterial SSU rRNA
Rfam family: Bacterial small subunit ribosomal RNA
Source: RNAcentral